This 811-nucleotide ribosomal RNA is filed under the name fungal sp. BG97. RNAcentral describes it as "eukaryotic LSU rRNA". It matches the Rfam family "Eukaryotic large subunit ribosomal RNA", at positions 87 to 929 of the family's 3401-position model. The record is from RNAcentral. Lineage: Eukaryota; Fungi.
CGGCGAGUGAAGCGGCAACAGCUCAAAUUUGAAAUCUGGCCCCAGGCCCGAGUUGUAAUUUGCAGAGGAUGCUUUUGGCGCGGUGCCUUCCGAGUUCCCUGGAACGGGACGCCAUAGAGGGUGAGAGCCCCGUACGGUUGGACACCAAGCCUUUGUAAAGCUCCUUCGACGAGUCGAGUAGUUUGGGAAUGCUGCUCUAAAUGGGAGGUACAUUUCUUCUAAAGCUAAAUAUUGGCCAGAGACCGAUAGCGCACAAGUAGAGUGAUCGAAAGAUGAAAAGCACUUUGAAAAGAGGGUUAAACAGCACGUGAAAUUGUUAAAAGGGAAGCGCUUGUGACCAGACUUGCGUCCGGUGAAUCACCCAGCUCUCGCGGCUGGGGCACUUCGCCGGCACAGGCCAGCAUCAGCUUGCCGUCGGGGACAAAAGCUUCAGGAACGUAGCUCCUCUCGGGGAGUGUUAUAGCCUGUUGUAUAAUACCCUUCGGCGGGCUGAGGUACGCGCUCCGCAAGGAUGCUGGCGUAAUGGUCAUCAGCGACCCGUCUUGAAACACGGACCAAGGAGUCAACCUUAUGUGCGAGUGUUUGGGUGUUAAACCCCUACGCGUAAUGAAAGUGAACGCAGGUGAGAGCUUCGGCGCAUCAUCGACCGAUCCUGAUGUUCUCGGAUGGAUUUGAGUAAGAGCAUAUAGGGUUGGACCCGAAAGAAGGUGAACUAUGCGUGUGUAGGGUGAAGCCAGAGGAAACUCUGGUGGAGGCUCGCAGCGGUUCUGACGUGCAAAUCGAUCGUCAAACAUGCGCAUGGGGGCGAAAG